GACGAACGCUGGCGGCGUGCUUAACACAUGCAAGUCGAACGGAAAGGCCCUGCUUUUGUGGGGUGCUCGAGUGGCGAACGGGUGAGUAACACGUGAGUAACCUGCCCUUGACUUUGGGAUAACUUCAGGAAACUGGGGCUAAUACCGGAUAGGAGCUCCUGCUGCAUGGUGGGGGUUGGAAAGUUUCGGCGGUUGGGGAUGGACUCGCGGCUUAUCAGCUUGUUGGUGGGGUAGUGGCAUACCAAGGCUUUGACGGGUAGCCGGCCUGAGAGGGUGACCGGCGACAUUGGGACUGAGAUACGGCCCAGAAUCGUACGGGAGGCAGCAGUGGGGAAUAUUGCACAAUGGGCCGAAGCCUGAUGCAGCAACGCCGCGUGCGGGAUGACGGCCUUCGGGUUGUAAACCGCUUUCGCCUGUGACGAAGCGUGAGUGACGGUAAUGGGUAAAGAAGCACCGGCUAACUACGUG
This 468-nucleotide ribosomal RNA is filed under the name uncultured bacterium. Its description in RNAcentral is "partial 16S ribosomal RNA". It matches the Rfam family "Bacterial small subunit ribosomal RNA", at positions 28 to 507 of the family's 1533-position model. The record is from RNAcentral.